UCAUUCCUCUUGCUGACAUCCCAAGGUAAUUUCUGCCCUGCAGCCACAGAGGGAGGAGCCAUGCCCCAGCAGAAAUGCAUGCUCCAGGACCAGGGUUCCUUCCUGAGACCUGCUGUCCUACUCACCGAGUCCUGGUUCACAUGCCAAGGCUCAAGGCAGCAGGAAAGUAACAUCUUCUGGGGUCUGCUGCCCAUGAAGAGCAAGCCAAGAGACAGCUGCUCCCAUGCAACAAGGAUUUGGGUGAUUUCCCAGAACACUGCAAUCCACUGUCCGGGGUAUCUCCUGAGGCUGUCUCAACUUCCAAGCAUCUCUCCUGAUGGCAGCUGGCUGGGGAGAGCUGUACUGCUGGAGGACUUAUAAUGCAAAUAUACUGCCAGCAUAUGAUGCUAGAUUGAUAAGAGGAAAACAGAAGUCAGAAUUCUUCACUAUCCAGCUAACUCCACACUGCUCUCCUCUCCUACAGAGUCCUGUAAGAUCACCAGCCUGGGUAGAGAUGGUCUCCCCUGAUAUUAGGAAAUAAAUGUAUCUCCAGCACUGUGGAAUAGUGGCAGUCAGCAAAUGUCAGCUUCUAUGGUGAAGUCACAAGCCAGCAGAGACCUGAGCUUGCUCCUGCUCUGCAUCAGGACCAAAUAAAGAAUGUCCAGUCAUGAAACACAGUAUCCAGUGAUCAAUACCCGGAGUUAUCUUGUUCUCCAAGUCAAAAACAAACCUUCUUUAGGUGCAAGAGUGGCUGUCCAUUCUCCAAACAAAACUGAAAAGCUGGAGAAGAAGCAAGCCCAGCAACUUUAAUUUCAUUUUACAGUCAUCUGUAGUGCUGAUGUUCCUUUAACACUGUAUAAUGUAGCUUUGGUUAAUCUCACAAUGGUGUGCCCCAGAAACAGAAUGCCAUCUGCUGUUUAGGACAGGUUUGGUACAAUUAUGCCUUUUGCAAUAUUUGUGUCUCAUUUCUUUCAAGGAUAUGUAACUUCACUUUUUCUAUUUAAACUAGGAAAAGAUGACUAUAAAUGUCUUCUGCUGUGAUAUAAAGCUCAAAUUACAAAAGACAGAUGUCACAAAAUUACUCUUGUUUGCAUUCUGAAGCUGGAGCAUGUCAUUAGAAAGAUGAACGCUUUACAUUCUUCUUAUAUUUUCUAAUAUUAUAAUGACACAUAUUAUGGCAAGCACCAUAAUCUGUUCCACUGCCGUGCAAACAGUGCACAUCACCUCCCUACUAAAACUGCAAUAGUUAGAGUUGGGAGUUCAUUAUUUUCUUUGCCUUCCAUCAGGAUAUUGCUGAUCCAUGUAAUUACUGCAGUUGCAGAGAUGCAGCUGGGACAGCAUCAGUGCUUUUCGCUGGGCAGUUGCACCAGUACACUGAUGCUGUAUUGAUACUGGGACUGCACUGCUCCCAGCAUUAUUAUACUGGAAAUACAGGUAUUAAAAGCUCUAUUUGUAUUUUAAUACCUGUUAAAAACUACAGGCAAGCUCCAAUUUCAUAGCAUUUAACUUGGAGAUAGCAGCUUCCUGCUCAAGCUGAUGUGGAUAAAGUUGUACACUCAGCAGGGUCCAACCCUUUCCCUGAGAGAGGCAAGGUCAGCAAGUCCAGCUCUUUUCUCUCACAUCUCACUAAGGAACAAUAGCCCAUUUUCAGAUUCUUUCCCAGUGACCAAGGCUAGAAAAGCCUGUCAUGGUCACAAACACGGGAAGUGAGGCGUUUUCCAACUCUGCACAUUUCAUUUCAUGCAUAGAAGUGUAGAUUUAUCUAAAACAUGCACUGGGGAUGCACUGGUUUGGGCUGAACUUGUGAUCAAGCGGGGAGGACAUUUGCAGGGCGUGCACAGCAGGAGGUUUACACAGGAGGUCUGUGCACAUGUCCAUGCUCUGUCAAAUUCAGUAUGAGGAUGUGAUUCUGUCCCUCUGGGGAGACACAUCCUUGCUGCCCUGUUUCAGAGCUCAUUGCAAACAGGCUGCUUGCUCUGUGCCAAACUGCCAAAAUUAGUGAUCUCAUAUGAAAGGAAGCACUGGUUGAUGAUUUAGUUUUACCAGCAGCUCAAUGACCUAACCAUGUUUUCCUUCUAACAUACACAGGAGCAUUUAAUCUCCUGCUUUAGUGGGCUCUGUUUGACUUCACCUACCAUUAUCACAAUGACAUGCUGGUGGAGAGCAGAGCAAACCAUGGAUUAUGUGCAGUACCCACAUCAAAUGUAAUCAGGCUGAAUUAGCAGGGAUUGAGUCUCGGGCUCCUGGAAAUAAAUUGCAGUAUUACAUUUGUCUUCUGUGAGCCUUUAACAGCCACAAAACACUCACAGCAAAGGCCUGUGGUCAACUUCAAACAAAUUAUACAAGGCAUUUCAUACUGUGAUUAAGGUGAACUGGACCCUGCAGACAGAUGUGUGUAUUUUCACAAUUUAUCUUCAAAUACUGUCUAUAAAUUCUAAAAAAAGGAGGUGUUGGUUUGCUCUUGAGUUUGAUGGAGAGGCAGGUUGCUGGUUUGUUUUUUUGGGUUUUUUUUUGCUGUUAGGUAUAAGGAGGAUUUGAAGCAAAAUGGAAUAUAAGUAUACUUAAAGUUAUAUAGCAGUAUAAACAGAAAGGAGCAUUUUUUAAUCUUCAUUUAAAGGGGUACUGGGAAUUACAUCAUGUUCUCAGAAUCCAUCUUUUACUGUCUGACACUGACACCAGCAGAACCAUGAUAGGGUACAAAUUAAUGAUUGGACACAUCCUAUACUUGGUCUAACAUACACACACGAGAAAGUAAAUUUGAUCCUGAGAAAUGUUAUUUCAAAGCUUUUCCCUCCACACCUUCCAACUGUGGCUUGCAGCAUUUCAAUGAAGUAUGUCAGCUAAAAGAGCUGGAAAAACAGCAGAAAUACCAAGAGGCCAGCUCUUCACAAGUCUGUCAACUUGUGUGAGCUACACUGCCUUAAAAAGGGCUGGAGGACAAGGAAACCUUUCUCCAGUUGAGAUGGUCAGUGCCAUGCUCAGUGAACCACUGGGUUUCCUCUCUGCUUGCUGGCUUGCCUCUCACAUGCAAGCCUGGGGAAAGCAAGGGCACCCCUCUUUUGAGAGUCCACCAAUCCAGAUACCUAACACAAAGAAAAGGACAUCAGAUCUCUUUUCUCAUGCUGGCUAUGCCUUACAUUAGCUCAGCCCAAAGCACCUCUCCUCUGCCCUCCUUGCUUCUCUUAGGUCAGUGAUGAGUCAUCCGUACUUUAAUGGAGGUCCCUGAGGCUUAAUUCAUUAUCUGAGAAGAUCUUUGAGACCAUCAAGUGAAGGGUGUUACAGAAGUGCAAGGAGGUUAAGUCUUGUAACUCAUACCCAUAUGCUAUGUUUGUGCCUUUGCAUUUUUUUUUCUUUUUAAAAAAACAAAAUUUGUACCUCAUCCUAGAGCAGGGAGGGAGCCGUUCACUCCCUCUCCCACGAUGUACCCCCCUCCUUGCUUUCUUGUGCACAAGGUUUGGAAAAAGGGGG
Long non-coding RNA from Motacilla alba alba, 3447 nucleotides. RefSeq lists it as uncharacterized. The transcript is spliced from 3 exons. The record is from RefSeq and is a predicted model, not a curated record. Lineage: Eukaryota; Metazoa; Chordata; Aves; Passeriformes; Motacillidae.